Molecule: ribosomal RNA, 938 nt
Filed under: Escherichia coli
Lineage: Bacteria; Pseudomonadati; Pseudomonadota; Gammaproteobacteria; Enterobacterales; Enterobacteriaceae
Description: partial 23S ribosomal RNA
Rfam family: Bacterial large subunit ribosomal RNA
Source: RNAcentral
GCCAGGCUGUCUCCACCCGAGACUCAGUGAAAUUGAACUCGCUGUGAAGAUGCAGUGUACCCGCGGCAAGACGGAAAGACCCCGUGAACCUUUACUAUAGCUUGACACUGAACAUUGAGCCUUGAUGUGUAGGAUAGGUGGGAGGCUUAGAAGUGUGGACGCCAGUCUGCAUGGAGCCGACCUUGAAAUACCACCCUUUAAUGUUUGAUGUUCUAACGUUGACCCGUAAUCCGGGUUGCGGACAGUGUCUGGUGGGUAGUUUGACUGGGGCGGUCUCCUCCUAAAGAGUAACGGAGGAGCACGAAGGUUGGCUAAUCCUGGUCGGACAUCAGGAGGUUAGUGCAAUGGCAUAAGCCAGCUUGACUGCGAGCGUGACGGCGCGAGCAGGUGCGAAAGCAGGUCAUAGUGAUCCGGUGGUUCUGAAUGGAAGGGCCAUCGCUCAACGGAUAAAAGGUACUCCGGGGAUAACAGGCUGAUACCGCCCAAGAGUUCAUAUCGACGGCGGUGUUUGGCACCUCGAUGUCGGCUCAUCACAUCCUGGGGCUGAAGUAGGUCCCAAGGGUAUGGCUGUUCGCCAUUUAAAGUGGUACGCGAGCUGGGUUUAGAACGUCGUGAGACAGUUCGGUCCCUAUCUGCCGUGGGCGCUGGAGAACUGAGGGGGGCUGCUCCUAGUACGAGAGGACCGGAGUGGACGCAUCACUGGUGUUCGGGUUGUCAUGCCAAUGGCACUGCCCGGUAGCUAAAUGCGGAAGAGAUAAGUGCUGAAAGCAUCUAAGCACGAAACUUGCCCCGAGAUGAGUUCUCCCUGACUCCUUGAGAGUCCUGAAGGAACGUUGAAGACGACGACGUUGAUAGGCCGGGUGUGUAAGCGCAGCGAUGCGUUGAGCUAACCGGUACUAAUGAACCGUGAGGCUUAACCUUACAACGCCGAAGCUGUU